ACCGAAAGGCCUCGCGCUCAAGGAGCGGCCGAUGGCGGAUUAGCUAGUUGGUGAGGUAAAGGCUCACCAAGGCGACGAUCCGUAGCUGGUCUGAGAGGACGGCCAGCCACACUGGGACUGAGACACGGCCCAGACUCCUACGGGAGGCAGCAGUGGGGAAUUUUGGACAAUGGGCGCAAGCCUGAUCCAGCAAUGCCGCGUGUGUGAAGAAGGCCUUCGGGUUGUAAAGCACUUUUGUCCGGAAAGAAAACUUCGUCCCUAACAUGGAUGGAGGCUGACGGUACCGGAAGAAUAAGCACCGGCUAACUACGUGCCAGCAGCCGCGGUAAUACGUAGGGUGCGAGCGUUAAUCGGAAUUACUGGGCGUAAAGCGUGCGCAGGCGGUGAUGUAAGACCGAUGUGAAAUCCCCGGGCUUAACCUGGGAACUGCAUUGGUGACUGCAUUGCUGGAGUAUGGCAGAGGGGGGUGGAAUUCCACGUGUAGCAGUGAAAUGCGUAGAGAUGUGGAGGAACACCGAUGGCGAAGGCAGC
RNAcentral lists this ribosomal RNA (531 nucleotides) under Paraburkholderia sp. RNAcentral's name for it is "bacterial SSU rRNA". It matches the Rfam family "Bacterial small subunit ribosomal RNA", at positions 199 to 725 of the family's 1533-position model. The record is from RNAcentral. Lineage: Bacteria; Pseudomonadati; Pseudomonadota; Betaproteobacteria; Burkholderiales; Burkholderiaceae.